GGAGAGGUGGCUGAGUGGCUUAAAGCGGCGGUCUCGAAAACCGUUUCCCAUGUUAAUGGGACGUGGGUUCGAAUCCCACCCUCUCCG
This 87-nucleotide transfer RNA is filed under the name Nitrospirota bacterium. RNAcentral describes it as "Nitrospirae bacterium tRNA-Ser". It matches the Rfam family "tRNA". From Rfam's summary of the family: Transfer RNA (tRNA) molecules are approximately 80 nucleotides in length. Their secondary structure includes four short double-helical elements and three loops (D, anti-codon, and T loops). The record is from RNAcentral. Lineage: Bacteria; Pseudomonadati; Nitrospirota.